GAUGAACGCUGGCGGCGUGCCUAACACAUGCAAGUCGAGCGAACAGACGAUGAUCUUGCUCCUUUCACGUGAGCCGCGGACGUGUGAGUCACACGUGUAUCACCCCCCUAUCAUACUGGUAUCUCUUCGGGACACCGGAGCUAAUACCAGAGAAUCUAUUGAACCGCAGUGUUCGAUAGUGAAAGACGGUUUUGGUGGAAGUUCUAGAUGGAUCCGCGCCGCAUUAGCUAGUUGGUAAGGUAACGGCUUACCAAGGCAACGAUGCGUAGGCGACCUGAGAGGGUGAUCGGCCACACUGGAACGGAGACACGGUCCAGACUCCUACGGGAGGCAGCAGUAGGGAAUCUUCCGCAAUGGGCGAAAGCCUGACGGAGCAGCGCCGCGUGAGUGAUGAAGGUCUUGGGAUCGUAAAGCUCUGUUAUUAGGGAAGAACAAAUGUGUACGUAGCUAUGGAGGUCUUGACGGUACCUAGUCAGAAAGCCACGGCUAACUACGUG
Molecule: ribosomal RNA, 497 nt
Filed under: uncultured bacterium
Lineage: Bacteria
Description: partial 16S ribosomal RNA
Rfam family: Bacterial small subunit ribosomal RNA
Source: RNAcentral